CAAUAGCGUAUAUUAAAGUUGUUGCGGUUAAAAGCUCGUAGUUGGGUUUCUGUUGAGGGCAGCCGGUCCGCACUUCGUGUAUCUGGUUUGACCUCGGCAUCCUCUCAAAAUACGUUUCUGCGCUUGAUUGCGUGGAGCGGAGUUUGAGACUUUUACUUUGAGGAAAUUAGAGUGUUCACGGCAGGCUAUCGCCUUGAAUAUAUUAGCAUGGAAUAAUAAUAUAGGAUCUUGGUUCUAUUUUGUUGGUUUCUUAGGGCUAAGAUAAUGAUUAAUAGGGACAAUUGGGGCGAUUCGUAUUAACGCGUCAGAGGUGGAAUUCUUGGAUUGCGUUACGUACGAACUACUGCGAAAGCAUUUGUCCAAGGAUGUUUUCAUUGUAUCAAGAACGAAAGUAAGGGGAGUCGAAGACGAUCAGAUACCAU
RNAcentral lists this ribosomal RNA (422 nucleotides) under uncultured eukaryote. Its description in RNAcentral is "SSU rRNA". It matches the Rfam family "Eukaryotic small subunit ribosomal RNA", at positions 592 to 1018 of the family's 1831-position model. The record is from RNAcentral.